This 418-nucleotide ribosomal RNA is filed under the name uncultured bacterium. RNAcentral describes it as "bacterial SSU rRNA". It matches the Rfam family "Bacterial small subunit ribosomal RNA", at positions 359 to 773 of the family's 1533-position model. The record is from RNAcentral.
AUAUUCGCAUUGGGGCAACACUGACGAAGCAAUUGACAGCGUGGAUGAAGAAGACAUUCGGGUUGUAAAGAUCCUUUCGUGGAGGACGAAAAGGUGGGUUCUAAUACAAUCUGCUAUUGACGUGAAUCCAAGAGAAGCACCGGCUAACUCCGAUGCCAGCAGCCGCCGGUAAUACGGGGGGUGCAAGCGGUUAAUCGGGAUCACUGGGCGUAAGGGUGAGAUAGCGGUACGUUAGGUCUGUCGUGAAAUCCCCGGGCUCAACCUGGGAAUGGCGGUAGAAACCGGCGCACUAGAGUAUGGGAGAGGGUGUGAAUUCCAGGUGUAGCGGUGAAUGCGUAGAUAUCUGGAGGACAUCAGUGGCGAAGGCGGGCCACCUGGCCAAUACUGUCGCUGAGGCACGAAAGCGUGGGGAGCAACA